This 376-nucleotide ribosomal RNA is filed under the name uncultured bacterium. RNAcentral's name for it is "bacterial SSU rRNA". It matches the Rfam family "Bacterial small subunit ribosomal RNA", at positions 523 to 898 of the family's 1533-position model. The record is from RNAcentral.
AUACGUAGGGGGCAAGCGUUAUCCGGAUUUACUGGGUGUAAAGGGAGCGUAGGUGGUAAUGCAAGUCAGAUGUGAAAGCCCGUGGCUUAACUGCGGGAUUGCAUCAGAAACUGCGUUACUAGAGUACAGGAGAGGUAAGCGGAAUUCCUAGUGUAGCGGUGAAAUGCGUAGAUAUUAGGAGGAACAUCAGUGGCGAAGGCGGCUUACUGGACUGAAACUGACACUGAGGCUCGAAAGCGUGGGGAGCAAACAGGAUUAGAUACCCUGGUAGUCCACGCCAUAAACGAUGAAUACUAGGUGUCGGGGCCCAAAGGGCUUCGGUGCCGGCGCAAACGCAUUAAGUAUUCCACCUGGGGAGUACGUACGCAAGUAUGAA